This 614-nucleotide ribosomal RNA is filed under the name uncultured Russula. Its description in RNAcentral is "eukaryotic LSU rRNA". The stretch from base 186 to 339 matches the Rfam family "5.8S ribosomal RNA". The record is from RNAcentral. Lineage: Eukaryota; Fungi; Basidiomycota; Agaricomycetes; Russulales; Russulaceae.
ACAACGGGGGUGCGAGGGCUGUCGCUGACCUUUCAAAAGGUCGUGCACGCCCGAGCGCUCUCACACAUCCAUCUCACCCCUUUGUGCAUCACCGCGUGGGUCCCCCUUUGCAGGAGGGCUCACGUUUUCACACAAAACUUGAUACAGUGUAGAAUGUUAUUUUUGCGGUCACACGCAAUCAAUACAACUUUCAACAACGGAUCUCUUGGCUCUCGCAUCGAUGAAGAACGCAGCGAAAUGCGAUACGUAAUGUGAAUUGCAGAAUUCAGUGAAUCAUCGAAUCUUUGAACGCACCUUGCGCCCCUUGGCAUUCCGAGGGGCACACCCGUUUGAGUGUCGUGAAAUCAUCAAAAACCCUUUUCUGUUUACCGAAAAGGAUUUUUGGACUUGGAGGUUUAAUGCUUGCCUUUCACUUUUGAAAGCGAGCUCCUCUCAAAUGAAUUAGUGGGGUCCGCUUUGCUGGUCCUUGACGUGAUAAGAUGUUUCUACGUUUUGNAUUUAGCACUGUCCCUUUGGAUUCCUGCUCCUAACUGUCCAACGGACAAAACGAUGGUGCUCCGNUCGCCGCCGUCUACAUUGGCGGGGGAGGGCUGGNCCCACGANGAAAACCUUGA